UUCCAUUCAUGAAAGAAACUGUGACAGAUUCUUGGCACACAGGUUGAGUCUGCUCAAAAGGGACAUCAUGCCAUGGAAUAUUCAUCAAAACCUUCCUAAAGAUUGCGGCAAUUUUUGAAAAUUUUCAAAGUCGUGGACUAUGCUAGAGAUAAAAGAUUUGAUGUUCGACAUGAGUCAACCUUUUACCAAACUUCAAAUCAUUUUCUUUCCAUGACAACAAAUCUCGUGCGUUAGAGCUCUCUAGAUAACAAGUCAUUCUCGUCCAUCCAUUUUGCAACUUUAGCCCCUGUUUCCAGUUUAGGGCUUCUACUUAACCAUUUUUAUGAAUUAAUCUAUCUAGUUAUAUACUUUAGUAUUUGUGUAUUUAUUUCAUUGUGAUGAAUACACUAAUCAUUUGCUUUUGUAUAUAGUUUUAUUUUUGCCUUUAAAGGUUUCCUAGCAUUGAAUACUAUUUUGGCUGUGAUGCACAAAAGGACGAAGCUACAAUGGCAGACAGAUUUGAAACAUUCAGUACCGGUAUGAAAUUGUUAUGAGCAGAAGGGAAAAUACCGAGGCAAAUGUGGUACGAAGAAACUUGUGGGUUAAUCUAGGAAGGACUUCCAUCCUUCUUCCAAAUGCAACAUUUGCUUCUAGCUCAAACCGAAAUAUUUGCUUAACCAUACCCCCUUUUCCAUCUCCUACUUAUGCAAUCUCUACACAAGUUCCAUCAACCUGCAACCCCAAUCAAGGUCAUGAUAUAUAAGAAUGCCUAGCAUUAAAGCAUAAGAUUCAGAAUUUAAUUGAUGCUAACAAACUGCGAGUGCACCUACCAGUUGGAAAAAAUAUCUCAAAUGAAAUUAACCAUAACACAAGCAAUACACCAAGCAUGGUUGGGCGUCCGAAGAAGAAAUGUCGUUUUAAUUACACCUUGCACUGUUGGCAUUAUCAUUUUGCAACUAUCAUCAUAUGAAUCGCUAUUUUUGUA
Molecule: long non-coding RNA, 964 nt
Filed under: Nicotiana benthamiana
Lineage: Eukaryota; Viridiplantae; Streptophyta; Magnoliopsida; Solanales; Solanaceae
Description: long non-coding RNA (NBEN_LNC041498)
Source: RNAcentral